This is a long non-coding RNA of Mesocricetus auratus (golden hamster), 3817 nucleotides long. RefSeq lists it as uncharacterized. NCBI's taxonomy places the organism in Eukaryota, Metazoa, Chordata, Mammalia, Rodentia, Cricetidae. The record is from RefSeq and is a predicted model, not a curated record. The transcript is spliced from 2 exons.
AAAGUAAAGGAUAACCAUGCUACAAUCCAUAGCCCUAGAGAGACUAGUUAAAAAGAAGGAGAAGGAAGUGCCCCGAGGACUCAGCAAAGAACCCUGGAGAAACAUCAGACACUGAGGGUUGAUUGCUCACUGAAGUCUUGUGAAUUCUGGGAGCUACAGUAAUGACUGGUCUAGCAUGAAACGUCCACCAGUGCAGCAGCAGCAUGAAAGUUAUGGGAGUAACCAAGCUCUUCCUGAUUGUAUUUUAAAUGCUACACCACAAGGCCAAAUUCAUGCCUGCAACUGUUAAUUGUUCACAAAUCUAUGGCUGGCUAGGUCAUAUACUCUAGAGGAAAACUAACAUGCUAAAUAGACAUAGUGACCCAAUCCCCUCUACUUUCUUAUCUUCAUACCCAUAGGUUAAUGUAUCUCUCAACGCUCCUCAGAGAAACUUCUCUUUGCAAUAGGUGGUGAAUAAUACAGUGACACACACUGGCCAAGAGGCAGAGAACAAGAGACUGAGUGCUCACCUCUAACUGGGACAUCUAUGCCACAUUCCCUCCUUUCCAAGUCCCAGGGACCAUUGCAGAAGAGAAAGAAGAAAUAUUGCAAGAGCAAUAAGUAGUGUGCAUCCGUAUGCAGAAAAACCAUUUUCUGGACACAACAGGACUACUGCACACAUGAACUUAAAGCAGCAAUGACUACAUGCACAAGACGUGCACACGAUCAAGUCAGUCAAAAUCCCAGCAAGAAUGGGAGAAGAGGCUGUCCGAGUUAGUGUUUCUACUGCUAUGAAACACCAUUACCAAAAGCAAGAUGGAGAGGAAAGGGUUUAUUCACCUUACACUUCUCCAUCAUAAUCCAUCACUUCUAGAAGAGUAACCAAUGCUCUUAACCAUUGAGCCAUCUCUCCAGCUCCUAUCUGCCUUUUAAAAACAGGUAAGUUUCACCUAUAAAGUAUUCAUGAAAAAAAUUAAAACAACUCCCUAGUUCCAAUCAUGAUCCUUAAAAAACUAUAAGGCCAAACGAACAAACUAAAAUGACAUAAUGGAAAUGCAAUCAGAAAGGCAGACAUCAGGGAGGUUUACAGAAUGCAAUUACCUAGGGCUGAGGAGAUGACUCAGUGAAUAGGAGUUCUUGUUGCCUAAGUAUGAUAAUCUGAGUUCAGACCCCACAUGUGACCCUGCAUGCAUGCCUGCAACCCCACUCCUCAUAGGAGAGAAGACAGAUCCCGAGAGCUAGUAGGCCAGCCAAUUUAACAAAAAAAAUAAAAACAAAACACUAAUGACACAUGACACUGUCUCAAAGAAUAAAAUGGAAAGCAAUGGAGCAGGGCGCCACAUGUACUCUCUGGCUUCUCCAUUUGCACACACAGGCACACAUGUCUAAAUACAUAAAUGAACACACACAAUGCAGCCAAAUAACUUUAACUAAAGGAAAGAAAAAAUAACCUAAUUCUUUCAACAAACUUAAUAAAGAGGGAAGCAGAUGGCAGAAACCUAUAGAUUAAAAGAUUUAAAUAGCAGGGAAAGAACCAUAUUUCGAUACUGCUUUGAACAAGCUGUUUUUAAGAGGUUAUUAUAGGAUAAUUGGGGAGACAAACCGUGGCUGUUUCAUUCCACUCAAGGGCUAUAGGCCAGCACAGUGUCCAACACCAUCAAUGCAACAUUCAGCAUGGGAUGCUGAGGCAGGAGGAUUGCGAGGCCUUCAAGCAAGCCUGAACUACAGAACUAUAUGUAAUGUCUAAAUAUUUACCAGGCUGAGAAAAAAAGAAUUUGCAUCAGGUACUGUGCAAGUGUCUGAAGAGCUGGGGCUCCUCCAAGAUGGUCCAUGUCCAGGAGAGACACAAGACUCUGGAGGCACAUAAGGGCUCUACACUGAGUAGUGUUCAAUCUUCAAAGAAAGUGAACAGCGUUGUUUCUGUAAACUAGUACACUGGAAUGCUAUGGGUCAAGUGACUUUUACUACCAUUACUGUUGACUUUGGUGUAGCAUCUUGCCUUGUACCACAGGCUAUCCUGGAGCUCACUGUCAAGUCUGCAUUGGCUCUGACUCUGUGAUCCUCUUGAAUACAGGGAUUAGACUUAUGAGCCUCCAUGUAUAAACUUCAGAUUAAGAGUUCCUACAAGUUCAAGGGGAUCUGGUCACAAAGAAUAAUGUGACCUGUUAAUCUGCCAAUCAAAGUACCUGAGAACUCAAGGGCUUUGAGUGCACCUCCCUGUGAGUCCUAAAUCUCUAUUCAGCCUUGAAUAGCAAACUCCUUCCAUUUAUUUUUUCAUUUGAAUUUAUAGUUUGCUGUCCCAGGGACUGAUCCCAAGGCACCAUUCAUACUAGACAAGCACUCUACCCUGAACUUGGCCACUUUUGACUUUUAAAAUAUCUGAUGACAGGGUCUCAAUAAGCUUCCUGAACUUAUGAUCAGCCCUGGGCAGUUGAGAUUACAGACCCCCACCCCAGGCCUGGUUUCUUUCUUGCUUCUUCAUAGAGGAGCCACUUGGUAUGUGUCCUGAGUGUGCUUAGAUGUGUCUUUGUGGAAAUGGAACCACAGAGUACACAUUUUAUGUCUUAUUCAUUCUGUUCAACACAGUAAAUUCUGCUGUGUUGUGAGUGGUUCCAGUUCAGAUCCUUUUUACUGCUGAAUGUAAACUUCUUAUACAUAUGACCAUGAACAGACAACGAGGCUGUUUCCAAGUUGGGACAACUAUGACCCACACUGCUGUGAAGAUUCAUUCUCACACUGGUAUCCAAGCACACUGGGCACAAACUUCUCCUGGCUGGUCUUGGGAGCAUUUUCUAGUCAAUAUUACAACACUUCACAUAAUGACAAAAUGAUGUUUUGUUUCUGAACACUGAAAAGUUCUUACUUUUUAAUCAAAGUUUUCCAAGUAGGGUUCCUAGAUCAUAUGUCAACAGCAAUACUGUUUGGUGAUGCAGUUUUCUCAAACACCCAGGUUUGAAAUGGAAACAGGAAAAGAUAGAAGGGAAACUGUCUUAAAUGGGACUUUUCUCUUAGUUUACAAAUUAUCAGGGUCAGAGCACGUGUGUAUUUCUAGUUCUGUCAGUUCUGCUUUACACCCAAGCUGCCAGUUUCUGCUCUGCAAGUAAACGGCUCCCACCAGCCAUUCCGACUCCCCACCCGGAGGCCAGGGUAAUACUAGAUGACCUUCUUUGGGAUGAGGCAGUUGGUAAGAGCAGUGUGAAUCUCAUGGGACAGCAGCUGCCCACUGCACUCAUUGAAGGAGUUUUCCAUAAAGGCUUCACUUUCAUCACUACUACAAAGCUCUUACCAUUCAUCAUCAGAGAGAUCUGAGGAAAAAAGAGCAAACAAGGCAUUACUGGGGUAUCAAAGAAACUCUCACGGAAGCUGCCCUUGGUAUGAGGAGUGGGAGCCAGGUGGGGGAAUGUCCAGUGUACGUUGGGAGCAAACCUUUACUGCAGCACAUGUUGACAGUAACUUCCAGAGCAGUCUGCUGAGCUGCCAGCAAUGCCAUGAUGUCUCUCAGUUCCUUGUCAGUAGACUAAAGAAAUAAAAAUAAAUAAGAAAAAUCAGGUAUCUUUCAUAUCAGUUUUUUUCUUAGUGUCCAACUAGCUCUUGUACAUCAGGCUGGUCUGGAACUCACAGAGAUCUGCCUACCUCUGCCUCUGCCUCUGAGUACUUUGAUUAAAGGCAUGUACUACUCCCACCUGGCCUAAACCUUAAUUCUUAAAUUGCCUGUAAAAAAUCAGCCACACUGAUAUCCUAUGGUGAGUGGCAUAACCUUGAAAAUGACAUGUACUUUGUUGUUUACAAAUUCAAACUGUUUUUAAUGACUAAAUAAAAUUUCACUAAUUGGAUCUAC